CGAUUUUCCUCCUAACAAUUCACUUUGACCCUUUUGAUAAACCAGAUUUCAUUCCCCCCAAAAACAUUUCCCCUAAAUCACAAAGCAAGAGGAAAUAUGCUCGUUUCUUCAUCGCCGACAUCUGGACAACUAACCGGCACCAUCGGACGUAAUGCGAAGAUGGCAGCCCACCGACACCCGACGUCGAAAUAGCAUUUGAAGAUGGCAGUUGAAUCGUAGAUGCUGGGCAAAGGUAUUUUGUUAUUUACUGAUUUAUGCAUUCUUUUAAUUUACGGUUUAGGCUGUGUUAGACUUGUUUACAUGAUUUGGGUGUUAUUUCCUCUUUAUUUAGACAUACAUUUGAAGUAUUUAAUUUCUUGUUCUUCAUAAAUUAGUGAGUUCGUUCUUAAAUUUCUGAGCUUGAUUGUUAAGUUCAUUUUUCAUAGAGAGGGGUAUUUUGUUCUAGGCAAAGUUAUUUUUCAUAAAUUUUCAAGCAAAGGUAUUUUGUUCAUUUGUCAUAAAGAGUGGUAUUUUGUUCAUUUUUCAUAAACAGGGGUGUUUUUCAUAUAGAAUAUGUUUCAGUGUGCCUACUUCUGUUAAGCUACUAGACGAAUUUUGCUCAAGUGUGGCUACUUUUGUUAAGCUACUCUACGCACAUGGGGUGAGUAGUAAGACUCAAUGCAACAAGAGAAUACAUCUAACAAGCAGUAAAAAUGUACUGUAACUAAACAUUCCACCAUUGACCUCCUAUAAAAACACCAAACAAGGAAAGAAAUAAGAGAAGCCUAAAAAGAUUUAGUUUCAGCAAAAUCCAACGUGAUCAAAUCUAAGAAAAUAUAAUAAUAUUGAAUCAUAUUCUAUUUACUCAGUGAUUUUGAUCGAUAUGAUUUUCAAUUGUUGUUUGCAGUUUGUAGCAUGCGAGAGACGACCAUUAAAGUGACCAAGUAGGAAAAGGCCAAUUAGCUACUUUUGAUUGAUAUUUUUUGUUUCGUUGGCAGUUGUUAAGUAGAAUGAGAGGAAACGAAGAGGUGAAGCAUGAGCCCAAUGAGGAAUACGAAGACUUGCUAAGAGUCUUCGACAGCCUAGCUCGAAUUAUCGAGAAACGAGAUGUUGACAUAACAUUGCACGUUACAUUUGGCAAGGGAAAAUGAAUUGUAGAAAGUGAUGGGAAGGGGAAGGGACCGACGUGAACGGGUAGUAUCAAUUUGUAGUUGUCAUAUGCUUUAUUUGUACCGUAAGAACUUCUUGGUCAUAGUAGUCUUCGAUGUCCAACGCUUAUUUUUGUCAACAUCGUUCGAGCUUUGGACAUUAGUUUAAUAUUUGCAAAUUGUUGUAAUACUUAGUAGGCUUCUUCAAGUUUAAUAUUUUGUGAAUUGUUGUAAUGCUUAGUUAGCAGACUAGCUAUUCAUGGUUUUCGGUCCACAGAGGAAGUUCAUUACAAUGUUUGUAUAGUCCCAUAAGCUGCACCAAAUUCAAUAGAGUAAUU
RNAcentral lists this long non-coding RNA (1465 nucleotides) under Olea europaea subsp. europaea. Lineage: Eukaryota; Viridiplantae; Streptophyta; Magnoliopsida; Lamiales; Oleaceae. The record is from RNAcentral.